RNAcentral lists this ribosomal RNA (762 nucleotides) under uncultured bacterium. Its description in RNAcentral is "bacterial SSU rRNA". It matches the Rfam family "Bacterial small subunit ribosomal RNA", at positions 1 to 813 of the family's 1533-position model. The record is from RNAcentral.
UGAGAGUUUGAUCCUGGCUCAGGAUGAACGCUGGCGGUCUGCUUAACACAUGCAAGUCGAACGCAACCUUCGGGUUGAGUGGCGGACGGGUGAGUAACGCGUGAGAAUCUGCCUUGGGGUCGGGGACAACCACUGGAAACGGUGGCUAAUACCGGAUACGCCUUCGGGUAAAAGAUUUAUUGCCCUAAGAGGAGCUCGCGUCUGAUUAGCUAGUUGGUGAGGUAAGAGCUCACCAAGGCAGCGAUCAGUAGCUGGUCUGAGAGGACGAUCAGCCACACUGGGACUGAGACACGGCCCAGACUCCUACGGGAGGCAGCAGUGGGGAAUUUUCCGCAAUGGGCGAAAGCCUGACGGAGCAAGACCGCGUGAGGGAGGAAGGCUCUUGGGUUGUAAACCUCUUUUCUCAGGGAAGAAGCUCUGACGGUACCUGAGGAAUCAGCCUCGGCUAACUCCGUGCCAGCAGCCGCGGUAAUACGGAGGAGGCAAGCGUUAUCCGGAAUUAUUGGGCGUAAAGCGUCCGCAGGUGGCGAUUCAAGUCUGCUGUCAAAGCACGGGGCUUAACUCCGUAAAGGCAGUGGAAACUGAAUAGCUAGAGUGCCGUAGGGGUAGAGGGAAUUCCCGGUGUAGCGGUGAAAUGCGUAGAGAUCGGGAAGAACAUCGGUGGCGAAAGCGCUCUACUGGACGGCAACUGACACUCAGGGACGAAAGCUAGGGGAGCGAAUGGGAUUAGAUACCCCAGUAGUCCUAGCUGUAAACGAUGGA